This 336-nucleotide unclassified non-coding RNA is filed under the name soil metagenome. RNAcentral's name for it is "partial contains 5.8S ribosomal RNA, internal transcribed spacer 2, and large subunit ribosomal RNA". The stretch from base 1 to 119 matches the Rfam family "5.8S ribosomal RNA", at positions 35 to 154 of the family's 154-position model. The record is from RNAcentral.
GAUGAAGAACGCAGCGAAAUGCGAUAAGUAGUGUGAAUUGCAGAAUUCAGUGAAUCAUCGAAUCUUGAACGCACAUUGCGCCCUUUGGUAUUCCUUAGGGCAUGCCUGUUCGAGCGUCAUCUAAACCUUCAAGCUCAGCUUGGUGAUGGGCGACUGUCCCCCCCCCUCGCGGGGGGGACUCGCCUCAAAAACAUUGGCGGCCGGUACAUUGGCUUCGAGCGCAGCAGAAACGCGGUCUCGAGCCCGGUGGAUCGGCUCCCAUAAGCCUAUUCUUUUAUUUUGACCUCGGAUCAGGUAGGGAUACCCGCUGAACUUAAGCAUAUCAUAAGCGGAGGA